AUUGAACGCUCGCGGCAUGCUUUACACAUGCAAGUCGGACGGCAGCACAGAGAAGCUUGCUUCUUGGGUGGCGAGUGGCGAACGGGUGAGUAUCAUAUCGGAACGUACCGAGCAGUGGGGGAUAACUAAUCGAAAGAUUAGCUAAUACCGCAUAUAUUCUGAGGAAGAAAGCAGGGGACCAUUUGGCCUUGCGCUGUUUGAGCGGCCGAUAUCUGAUUAGCUAGUUGGUGGGGUAAAGGCCUACCAAGGCGACGAUCAGUAGCGGGUCUGAGAGGAUGAUCCGCCACACUGGGACUGAGACACGGCCCCUACUCCUACGGGAGGCAGCAGUGGGGAAUUUUGGACAAUGGGCGCAAGCCUGAUCCAGCCAUGCCGCGUGUCUGAAGAAGGGCUUCGGGUUGUAAAGGACUUUUGUCAGGGAAGAAAAGGAUAGGGUUAAUACCCCUGUCUGAUGACGGCACCUGAAGAA
RNAcentral lists this ribosomal RNA (469 nucleotides) under Neisseria pharyngis. RNAcentral's name for it is "bacterial SSU rRNA". It matches the Rfam family "Bacterial small subunit ribosomal RNA", at positions 30 to 486 of the family's 1533-position model. The record is from RNAcentral. Lineage: Bacteria; Pseudomonadati; Pseudomonadota; Betaproteobacteria; Neisseriales; Neisseriaceae.